Non-coding RNA from Lolium perenne, 700 nucleotides. NCBI's taxonomy places the organism in Eukaryota, Viridiplantae, Streptophyta, Magnoliopsida, Poales, Poaceae. The record is from RefSeq and is a predicted model, not a curated record.
UGUAGUGUUCAUACUGAUUCUAAUUUCUUGGCAGAUAUGAGCAUCCAAUUAGAUGACCCCUUAUGCAGCAAGUGAUCCAGGAAACCAUUCAUGUAUGGAGAUUGCUCGUGCAACAUGAUGCUCUGGCUCUGCUUUGAAAUAUUUACCCUAGUGACAAGCAUCACUGAAAUGAAAAUUAAUUAUAAUUAUCACAUUACGUUGCUUAUGAAGCAGGCUGAUGUUGGAGCAACUUAUCAAUGUCGGUGACACAGCUAGUACACAUGAAAACAGCCAUUGGUGUAUAUAGAGGAUAUGCCAGUCAUCUCUUUUAGUUUGUGUUGCAUUUGACUGAAGUGUUCCGUCACUUAAUGCUACAAAUCAUUAAUCAACCCAACCCAGGUGAAUCCAACAAGUGAUUAGGUUCAAUAAAGAUGAAGCAAGCAAUGUUGGUCCCCAGGCUCUAAAUCUGAAGCUUCCUUUUGGUGAGAUAGAUGUGAUGGAGGAGAACCUGGAGCAGAUCAGGAGGAACCUGGGUCUUGAGCAUGUCAAGGUUCUGAUGAAAAGUCAUUGUUGAUGUCGUUGACGUGAAAUGUGAGCCUAUUUCUAAGAUGUGAUCGUAUUGACGUGAAAUGUGAACCUAUUUCUAAGAUGUGAUCGUAUUGACUUGAAAUGUGAACUAAUUCUAAGAUGUGUCAAUCACGGUUUUUUAUGGAGGACCAAA